Molecule: non-coding RNA, 6860 nt
Organism: Penaeus vannamei (Pacific white shrimp)
Lineage: Eukaryota; Metazoa; Arthropoda; Malacostraca; Decapoda; Penaeidae
Source: RefSeq, a predicted model, not a curated record
AUGACAAAAUCCACUGUCAGGUUCCUCGGCUCGUCCCUGAACCAUGACAAAGAGUGCCCGAGUGAACGCAGAGAUCCCCUAAAUAACGACCCCCUUCUGCCUCCCGUUGCAGUGCGCAGCAAGGGGCAGGUGGAGACGGGGCAGUACCGGUUCCUGGCGAGGGGCGGCGGCUACGUGUGGCUGGUGACGCAGGCCACGCUCAUUCACGGGCCCAAGGACCACAAGCCGCAGUACGUCGUGUGUCUCAACUACGUCGUCAGUGGUGUGGAGUCUCCAGGAGAGAUUGUGUCAGAGCUGCAAUUGAUGUGCAGCAAGAGCAGUAGCAGCAGCAGCACCAACAGCAGCAAAGAGCCAGACAGCACUUGCAGCAGGGUGGAUAGCCAGUCCCCUCCUGUCAGCCUUUCGCCUCCCACUGUGGCUCCCAGCAUUCCCACACCCACACACUGCCCCUCCUGCCCAAAAAGUCUCCUGCCCAACCCAAGACUCAGAGCCAGACUCCUCGUGUGACACCAGUAGGCCCACCUCCGACACCUGUGGCAACCACAUCCAAGAUCUUCGCUCCUCGUACUGAGGAAAUGAACAAAGGAUAUUUGAUGUUCUCUGAAGAUGAUCCACAAUGCACAGUGCUGAAGGAAGAACCUGAGGACUUGACCCACUUGGCUCCCUCGGGGGGUGACACGUGCGUGCCCCUGCCUGCUUUCAUGCCCAACCUGGAUGAUAUGUUCUCAUUUGACUACGCCCAGAUACCCAUUUCUAGCACUGAUGUCCUCUUCACCACUGCCUCGUCUGUGUCUGAAGAGCAGGAGAGCAACUCCGGUUUUGAGAAAAAGCUAAUCAGUGAAGAGAAGCGUCUUAGCAGCAGGCUGAGUGGAGGAAACGUGAUUAUUAAUAACAGCAUUGGCAACAGUCCAGCAUCCAGUUGCAGCAGUCCACCCGCAGGUGGACUUCGCACGCCUGAACCCCCAAAGCCUUUGCUUUCUCAGGCGGCCUUGCCAUCAGUCCUGGAAAAGAAAUUUAAUUUUGGGACUUUAGGCUGCAGCAGUCAUCCCAGAACAACAACAGAGAGUUUCUUCUCACAACUGGAUGAAAGUUCCAACCCUGGUUCAGAGUUCACCAAAGUGGAGCUCAAGAUAGAAGACCACAACAUGGAUUCUGAUGAGUUUGACAUGAGGGCCCCAUACAUACCCCACAGUGAUGAAAUGUUGGUGUUGAGUUCGGAUGAUUUGUUAUGGGGUGCGGAGGUCGAGCCUGCUGUAUCUCCAAAGAACCAACUUGGAUACCACAGAGAGACCAAGAGUUAUACCUUAAACAGCAAGGAAGAUUCAAGUCUUGCUCAGCUUCUGCGAGAUACAGACCCACCCAUUACCAGCUGUCGUACAGGGAAGGAUAGUAAAGUUGAUAACGGAGGAGGCUCGCAGCAGAGCCAAUAUGAACAAAGCAAGUUCUUUGACGGAGGGGAGAAUUUUGUUGAUCCAAACAAGGUACUUCCAGGACAUUGUAUUGGAAAAGAUGGUUUAGAUGGAUCUCCUGAUUGCAAUGACCAAGGUGAGGAUGAGCCACCAGCUGUAAUGGUGCAAGAGACAGUAGAGCCACCGCCACCCUUAAUCACCAUAGACACUAACCAGAUGUCACUGGCUGUCAAGAGGGGGCCGUCUCCAAACUCAUCUCCCAUUCUCACCCACAAAAAGCUCUGCUCCCUCUCACAUCGCCAGCGACAGAUGCUAUCAUCUUCAGCAACUGGGGAUGGGCAUAUAGCACUCCUGCAACCUCAGCAACAGCAACAGCAGCAGCAGACAGGAGUGCGCCUACUGACCACGCCUUAUGCCCCCACUAUGCAGCAGUUGCUGAUCAGCAAAGAGCCCAUCACAGUUCGGGGAAGACAUUCUGGAGGUCUCGGCACCCAUCAGAGUUCAAGCAAUGACAGUAGACACUCAGUGCUUCGAAACCUGCUGAAUGUUGAAGAAGUUGGAAGUAUAGUGAGGUGUGAGCCUCAACCAGGAGGGAGUGGAGUGAGUUCUGCAACGACGCGUCCGUCUCAAGACAGGAUGACUGACAUGGUUGCCACAGGAGGCAGUGAAACCAAUACAGGCAAUCAGCUUUCUGCUCCCAAACUGAGGCUUGUCACAGGCAGCCAAGGAACACUGAUGCAUGCUGGACAUCUUGCCAUCAAGGUUGCUUCAAAAGGCUCAGGAGAUGGUUUCUUCAAGCGUGUGCGCCGCCAGGACCCACUGCUAUUGAUGGACCCUGACCUGUCGAUUCCAGACUUGCUGGAUCUUACACAAUUAGACUAUGAGGUCAACGCUCCUGCCAAUAAUUGUAGUCUACUCCAGGGAUCUGACCUGCUCAUGGCUUUAGAUCAGAGUCCGUAAGGUUUCCUGUUCAGUGAACAGGGAUUUGUGUUGAGGGAACAUCCAUCUUCAUAGUUUCUUAGAAAGGAUGAAGAAGAUUAUUGCUUUUUAGAUUUUGAAUGAAUGAGAAGUAUUUUUUUAGCUCUGAAAUUUACCCUUACUUCCCCUUCUUUGUGGCCAAUAUGUUGUUGAAAUGAAGGGACAUAAGUAAAAUUAUUAUGGUUGAUAAAUGCUCUUGAGCUUGGUAUUCCAGGAGGUCUGAAACUUGCUUAAUACCAUAUUCUGAUUUGUCAUCAUCUCUCCUUGUUAUUUGGAUAUCCCAAGUUUUGCUGAAGUUUAUUACGAUUCCUUCCUACCUUGAUGCUGUAAUUAAUGUCUUACAGUUUAGGAAUAAUUUUUUUAGUGUGGCACUGAACCUUCUUAUUUUUGCUGCACAAGACUGAAACUGAUUAGUUUUCCCUCCAUAUCUAACAAUAUUUUUAGAAAGAAAUUUAAAGCUAUUUGUGCAGGAUCAGUUAAUUGUGCAAACUUAUAAAAUUAAAGAAGGAAAAGCAUAUAUAAAUUGUAUAUUAUGGCAUUGUUCUCAAGAAAAUGUAAUUGAUAAUUCAGUUUCACAUUGUGAUGGAGAACAUGACAGGCUAAUCCCUUUAGUGUUUUUUCCAUAAUAGAUUUUAUUCUUCCUAAGCAAGAGCAGUUGAGAAUUAGGUUACAAGAGAUUUUUUUUUGAAGAUGAAUAAUUCUGCUGUACUGGAAAAGACAGUGAUUCCGUGCCUUGGACAGAGUGUUUUAUAGUACCUCCUUAUUACCCUUCAGUGAUAAAAACAAAAAGGAUUUUUUUAGAAGUUGCCUAGGGUGUUCAAGAUGUCUAGCAGUUUAUCCUGUCCAGUAUAAUGUUAUGUUUUGGCUGCAUUUUGAGGAAGUAUUGCAUAUGUCCUUGACUUGUUUCUUACUUUAGAUUUUUAUGCCAACUUGGAAAUAUGAAUGUUUGGUGCAGCAAGUUUUGGAUCUCAUUACUGCAGACUAGAAGUAAAUACUUCACUAAAUUUUAGAUGUUCUUCAAUUGAUGAGUGGUAUGAAGUUGCCCAUUUUUUAUGUUUUGUGUUUAAUUUAACUACUUAUAGUUAAAAAGCAUUGAAGUACGAACAGUUGGUUAAUCAGUUGAUUAAACUUUAGAUAUUAUUUGUUACUUGCUGAUAUCUUGUACCAGAGCUUACAACCGUGUUACUUAAAGAUAGUAAAAUUAUGUAGUUUCCAAGGAGUUUAGAGAACUUUUUUAAAAGAAACACAAAUGGUACAAGUGUCCAUAAACAUUUUGUGUUCAUUGUUUUCAACCAGCUUCAGCUAAAAAUGCCAUAUUUGAAACAAUGAAUCAGAGGAUCAGAUUGGCAAAUUUCAGAUUCUAUUUCAUGAAUUUAAUUAUGUAUUUCCUUGAUUUUUAUUUUUUGUAUUUGGUUUUAUGUAAUUUUUUCAUUCCUCUUACAUGUUUUACUUUUAUACAAGCUUAUCCAUACUUGUGAAUACUGCCAAAAUGACCAAGUGUUUUCAGAGAGAGUUUGGGAUUGAACAAGCCUUCAACCAUGAUGUUAAAAGUGUUAGUCUGCAGUGUCCUUAGCUAGAUUGAGCUUAAAGGCUUGAUUCUUAGAUCUUAGCUUGAGACAAACCACUGUGUAGGCUGCUCAUCCAUCUGUUCUGAAGCAUGAGUAAAAGCAGCUGACCUCGGUGGCCGAAAAGUUUGCGUGGCAGCAGCUUGGUAGACCGUAGACUGUCAGCUAGAUCACUCUUCAAGUCAGCUGGGAUGGAUGAUGUAGGGCAAAGGGAGGUACUCUCAGAAUGUUGGAGGGACUUUGCCAUAUCAGAAUACCAUUAUGAUUUUCCAUUAACCCCACCCCCUUAAGGAAAAGAAUAAUAAUGAUGAGAAGUUAAAAGAAAAGUUAAUCAUUAACUUCUUUGUGAAAUUUUAUAAGAUCACAGGACAUUAUUUGAAUUAGACUGUCAGAAUAAGCUACAGAGAUUUUAAUGAGGUAUGAUAAUAGAGCUAUAAUUUUGGAAAGGUGUUUGUUUAUUUUUAAUUCAUGUAAUCUUGAAUUAGAAGUAUGACUGUUGGUAUUAACUUGCCCAGAUGCAGAAGAAUUCUCCUUGGAGUUGUAUGCAUGUGUAUAUAUAUAAUUUACUGUUUUACUGGUGUCUGUGUGGUAUGAUUAGAAAAGAAUUUAUGUAUGGAACUUUAUGUCUGCAUUUAUUAGCAGUUUUACACUGUAACAGAAGAAUUUGUCUUAAAAUUGAAGGCUUUUUCCUGAUUUGAAUGACCAAUUUAUUUUUUUGCGUUGUAUGUGAACUGUUAAUACAUGCAGAAAAUCUUUAUAUUAUUUUAUCUUUAUCUAUAUGGCUUUGUUUUUUUUCUCUUUUCUUUUUUUAGAGAUAUUUUAAGUUCAUUUCAUUUCCCCAUUUUCCAAUACAAACAAACGACAAUAACAUUCUUGCAUUACCGUACUCAGUUAUUUUUUUCUUCGGAAUUGUCUGCAGACAACUUCGAUUGCAAUAAUGGUUACUGCUCUACAUAUCCCACUUCUAUUUUAGUUACUAGACUUUUGUGGGAGAGUAGAUAGGUUAAGGAUCCUUUCUGGCUAGUAAGACCUGCCACAUUCUAUUUACAGCAACCUCCUGAGUUGAAAAUUAGAUGCAUGUCAUAUAGGUGGUGGAUCGUGUAUCUUUUUAUGGCAUUAGUAUGAAUGCUGUAAUAAGUUAGUCUAAAUUCAUUUUCUCUUUCUCUCUCCUUCUCUUUCUGUUUUCUUCCCCCUGUUCCUGCUUUGCUCUCCCCCUCUCGUCUCUCUCCUUUCUUUCUUUUUUCUCGUCUCUCUGUUCUUUGAUAUUCUAAGCACUGAAAAGAAGUAUAGGCUUGCUGUAGCAGUGCAACUAUAUGUUAUUGGAUUUUUUUUCUUUAAGAUUUGGUUGCUUUUAAUAUUAAGGCUUAAACAAAAAUCCUCAAAUUUAUUAUCACAGAAUAUUUUUUUUUGUUCAUGUUUUAUUUCCAUAUUAUUAUUUUUGUAACAUGGUGAAAAAUCAUCAAGCCAUGCAGAUUAAAUUGAUGUCAUACAAUCUCACAACACCUUAUAUAAAAUUUCAUGAGUAUGUCUUCUGAUUGCAGUAUUCUACUCACAGUAUGUGUGCCAUGUGGAUUUCAAGUAUCUGUACUCUGUUUCUAGAAUAAUGUAAAGGAUUUCCACAGAAGAAAUAUGUUCAGUCAGUGCAAAUUGUGGUAUGAAAUAGGACAUUAGGCAAGGAAUGCUUGGCAAGUUAUGUGAUUUCAUGAGCAACAUAUUUCUUCAUAAAUCCAAAAAAAGUAUAUGAAAAAAUAUUAACCAUAGGUUUUUAGGAGUUUACAGCCAUAUUAGUUAAUUUGUGCUGCAGGUAUAUCUCAUACUUGUGGAAAACCAAUCCAUUGGCUCAAAUUUUCUGAUAUGUCAAACUUCCUCAUAUAUAUAUCUGACCCAGGCUUUACCCUAGAGCUUGGGGGUUCUUUUAGAUCAGGUUACUGCCAGACUCAUAACAAAGAGGCAUUGACGUUUUCGUAAAGCAGAAUUGUAUCUUUCACUUGUAUAUUCCCCCUAAAGUGCUUAGGGUUUGCUACAAAGAAAUCUACCUAACAUUGUUGAAAUGAUUAAUAUUAUUUUUUGAUUUUUAUACAUUGUUGCAUAACAAGAAUGCCUCUUGCUAUGAUGCCUUUUCAAUCUGUAGCGCUAUGAAGAAUUAGGUAUGUAAAUUAUUACCAUGGUUAGUGAUCUGCUAAAGAUAAAAUUUGAGUGAUGAAACUGUAAUUGUAUCAAUUUAGCCUGUAAUAAAUUCAGUGUAGAAUUGUCUUGUUAAGGAGUCACCCCCCCUUUUUUGACAUUGUCGCCAAAACACUUCAUGUAAAAAAGUCUGUGCUGCUCUCUUUAGAUUACUGCAUUUAGACACAAAAGCUAUGCACUCAUUUGGCUUUUUUAAGACUGAUUUUGUAAAGUGUAAGUGUCAGAGAUGUGAAAACAAAGUAAAAGCUACUUAGCAGACACAUGAACUGGAGAGAUAUAUUUUUUAUUGCCAAGUAACCACAAGUUUUCAGUUUUAAAAAAUUAAGACCCAAAACCAACUUAUCAUCACCAUGUAUUUUCUGUGGAGCAACAACUUUGGCUAUGCUUUUUCCAUUGUUAACAAGCUGUAUACCCUUCCUGUACUUCAAUAUACAUGCAGCAAGUAAGCACAUUAAUCUGAAGGUAAUGUAAAAGUUAAUUUUAGGGACUACAAUAGCAUUUAGGUCACUGAACUGGUCUUUUUUUCAGCUAUAUUUCAUGAGAAAGCAAAAGUCAGGUGUGCAGCAAGGAAAGUAAAUUUGAUAUUAUUUGUAAGAACUCUUAAAAACAAAUGUGUUGGAAAUAAUUUAGAGAUAUGCUUUAAGUUAAAUGUUAGCUGAUCACAUGGCUAUCAGAUAUCCAUUACUAAUCUGCAUAUAUAUAUAUAUAUAAACUGUGGUACAAA